Non-coding RNA from Manis javanica (Malayan pangolin), 1754 nucleotides. The record is from RefSeq and is a predicted model, not a curated record. NCBI's taxonomy places the organism in Eukaryota, Metazoa, Chordata, Mammalia, Pholidota, Manidae.
CUGUGUGGAGACCAGAAAGGUGGUUCACUGGGCAUGAAUGGGGGGUGCUGGGCUGAGGGCUUCAAAUCCUGGAUUGGUAGCAGAACAAAUUGGCAUGGCUUUAGAAUUUCCUCCAGCACUGUUUGGCAGUCUGGGAGCAGGAACAGAGAAAAUGGAUGGUUGGCUCUAUUCAGGGUCGGGAAUUGGCAAAAUAGAUGUGGCAGAAAAUCAAGGGGCUUGGAGAUCUGAAGAUUUAGAAAGUUCACUGUCUUAACCUCACAACGUGAUUUACACAGUGUGUUGGGGGGGACUGUUGGCAGGAGGCCUUUGGUGGCUCUUUGUCCCUGACUGGUCCAAGUCUGUGAUAAUGUGCCUCAAUGUGGAUCUUAUUUUGUCUCUGAGGCUGGGCUCCUACUGUGCUCUUUCAAACGAGAGACUUUCACUCUUGUGUUGAUACAUGUUUCCUACUUGCUGUUUUCUGUUCGAAACUAGAACUCUUUUUCCUAUUAUUUAUCUGUGAGACCUUCUGGGUCAAUCCUCUCUCUCCCGUCUUCCUCUCCUCCACUCGAUUAUCUUUCCUCUUCUUAGCUCUAUUUGUUUUCUUUCUGGGAAGAAACGAGGAUGAACUUUAUUUUGAAGUUCAUCCAGGGACAUUUUUAUUUUGGAUAUUGUAUUUUUUUGAGAACUCUCUUCAGCUCGCUGAUAACAAAAUCCUUGUUUUAUGGCUGCAUUAUCUUCUCAUUAUCUCUUAAGGAUGUGAUUUAACAUUUUUAAAAGUCCUGUAGUUUCUUUCCCUUUCUAUCCCUUUCCUCCCCUCUUCCCCUCCCCUCCUCCCUUCCAUUCCCUCUCUCUUCAUCUUUCAAUCACUCUCUCUUUGUCUCUGUCUUUCUUCCCCCUCUUUUUCCCCCCUUAAUUAACCCAAGUUCUGGGCACAGUGAGAAAUAAAGCCAAUAAAGUAAGGAGGUGGGAGAUCAAAACACCACUCCUUUUAAACUGUUGAAAGCUCAGUGAGUGAGAGCCGAGCGGGCCUGAGAACGGAAGCCCAGACGGCGGACUCAUGCGCUCAGCCACGGGCAGCACUGGACGGAGGCAGGCCUCCUCUCACGGUUCACCCCUGGCCUGCCCAAGAAGCACAGAGAUGGAAAAGUUGGGAAAUCUGGAGCUGGCGAAGGAAGAGGAUCACAGCACAUCAGAGAACUUUGCCAGGAAGUGGUUUUGGAAAAGUGACUUAUACUGAUGGCCCAUCCUGUAUAAGUUUGUAGCAUGGCCCCUGUGGUGUCAUUUUCUGCCUACUGAGCUAUUCAGGGGCAUGUUGCCACCGUAGAACUCUGGGAGGAGCCCAGGACUGAAGAUGCUGGCAUUUCCACCAAGGAUACUGUCUUUGAUGGGGCCAGAGUUGCUAGUGCCCCUUCCUGCUUCCCAGGCAGAUCUGAGCUCCCCUACAUGUGUGAAAAAGUGCCAGUCUCGCAUGAUGUUAGAAGGACAGUGCACAUGGAGGUGGAUUAAUACUCAACCGUAUUCGUUAAGGAAGAAUUAAGAAAAGGUGGGCCUCAUCCGAUCAGUUGAAGACCUGAAUAGACCAAAAGGCUGAGCUUCCUGGAGCAAGAGGGAAUUCUGCCAGCAGACUGCCUUUGGACUUGAACUGCAACUCCUUUCUGAGUCUCCAGCCUUCUGUCCACCCUCAUCAGAUUUUGGACUUGCUAAGCCUCCACAAGUGUGUGAGCCAAUUCCUUAAAAUAAAUGCAGCCUCUCUCUGGAGAGCCCUGACUAAUGCA